UACAGAGGGUGCAAACGUUGCUCGGAAUCACUGGGCGUAAAGGGUGCGUAGGCGGGUCUUUAAGUCAGGGGUGAAAUCCUGGAGCUCAACUCCAGAACUGCCUUUGAUACUGAGGAUCUUGAGUACGGGAGAGGUGAGUGGAACUGCGAGUGUAGAGGUGAAAUUCGUAGAUAUUCGCAAGAACACCAGUGGCGAAGGCGGCUCACUGGCCCGUUACUGACGCUGAGGCACGAAAGCGUGGGGAGCAAACAGG
Molecule: ribosomal RNA, 253 nt
Filed under: uncultured bacterium
Lineage: Bacteria
Description: partial 16S ribosomal RNA
Rfam family: Bacterial small subunit ribosomal RNA
Source: RNAcentral